AGAGUUUGAUCCUGGCUCAGGACGAACGCUGGCGGCGUGCCUAACACAUGCAAGUCGAACGGGACCAGGGGCAACUCUGGUUCAGUGGCGGACGGGUGCGUAACACGUGAGGAACAUGACUUUCGGCGGGGGAUAGCCGGCCCAACGGCCGGGUAAUACCGCGUACGACCUGUCGGGGACAUCCCCGGUUGGUGAAAGCAGCAAUGCACCGAAAGAGUGCCUCGCGGCCUAUCAGCUAGUUGGUGGGGUAACGGCUCACCAAGGCGACGACGGGUAGCUGGUCUGAGAGGAUGGCCAGCCACAUUGGGACUGAGACACGGCCCAGACUCCUACGGGAGGCAGCAGUGGGGAAUAUUGCGCAAUGGGCGAAAGCCUGACGCAGCGACGCCGCGUGUGGGAUGACGGCCUUCGGGUUGUAAACCACUGUCGGGAGGGACGAAUGCGCCGCAAGGCGAGUGACGGUCCCUCCAAGAAGCACCGGGCUUACUUCCGUGCCAGCAGCCGCGGUA
RNAcentral lists this ribosomal RNA (509 nucleotides) under uncultured Gemmatimonadota bacterium. Its description in RNAcentral is "bacterial SSU rRNA". It matches the Rfam family "Bacterial small subunit ribosomal RNA", at positions 8 to 522 of the family's 1533-position model. The record is from RNAcentral. Lineage: Bacteria; Pseudomonadati; Gemmatimonadota.